GAUGAACGCUGGCGGCGUGCCUAAUACAUGCAAGUCGAGCGAACGGACGAGAAGCUUGCUUCUCUGAUGUUAGCGGCGGACGGGUGAGUAACACGUGGAUAACCUACCUAUAAGCCUGGGAUAACUUCGGGAAACCGGAGCUAAUACCGGAUAAUAUUUUGAACCGCAUGGUUCAAAAGUGAAAGACGGUCUUGCUGUCACUUAUAGAUGGAUCCGCGCUGCAUUAGCUAGUUGGUAAGGUAACGGCUUACCAAGGCAACGAUGCAUAGCCGACCUGAGAGGGUGAUCGGCCACACUGGAACUGAGACACGGUCCAGACUCCUACGGGAGGCAGCAGUAGGGAAUCUUCCGCAAUGGGCGAAAGCCUGACGGAGCAACGCCGCGUGAGUGAUGAAGGUCUUCGGAUCGUAAAACUCUGUUAUUAGGGAAGAACAUAUGUGUAAGUAACUGUGCACAUCUUGACGGUACCUAAUCAGAAAGCCACGGCUAACUACGUG
RNAcentral lists this ribosomal RNA (497 nucleotides) under uncultured bacterium. RNAcentral's name for it is "partial 16S ribosomal RNA". It matches the Rfam family "Bacterial small subunit ribosomal RNA", at positions 28 to 507 of the family's 1533-position model. The record is from RNAcentral.